AUUGAACGCUGGCGGCAGGCCCAACACAUGCAAGUCGAGCGGAUGAAGGGAGCUUGCUCCUGGAUUCAGCGGCGGACGGGUGAGUAAUGCCUAGGAAUCUGCCUGGUAGUGGGGGAUAACGUCCGGAAACGGGCGCUAAUACCGCAUACGUCCUGAGGGAGAAAGUGGGGGAUCUUCGGACCUCACGCUAUCAGAUGAGCCUAGGUCGGAUUAGCUAGUUGGUGGGGUAAAGGCCUACCAAGGCGACGAUCCGUAACUGGUCUGAGAGGAUGAUCAGUCACACUGGAACUGAGACACGGUCCAGACUCCUACGGGAGGCAGCAGUGGGGAAUAUUGGACAAUGGGCGAAAGCCUGAUCCAGCCAUGCCGCGUGUGUGAAGAAGGUCUUCGGAUUGUAAAGCACUUUAAGUUGGGAGGAAGGGCAGUAAGUUAAUACCUUGCUGUCUUGACGUUACCGACAGAAUAAGCACCGGCUAUCUUCGU
Molecule: ribosomal RNA, 483 nt
Filed under: uncultured bacterium
Lineage: Bacteria
Description: partial 16S ribosomal RNA
Rfam family: Bacterial small subunit ribosomal RNA
Source: RNAcentral